RNAcentral lists this ribosomal RNA (242 nucleotides) under uncultured bacterium. RNAcentral describes it as "partial 16S ribosomal RNA". It matches the Rfam family "Bacterial small subunit ribosomal RNA", at positions 1094 to 1363 of the family's 1533-position model. The record is from RNAcentral.
GAGCGCAACCCUCGCUGUUAGUUGCCGAUCAUUUUAGUUGGGCACUCUAACGGGACCGCCCGGUGAUAAGCCGGAGGAAGGUGGGGAUGACGUCAAGUCAUCAUGGCCCUUACGGGCUGGGCUACACACGUGCUACAAUGGCGACCAUAAUGGGUUAAUCCCCAAAAGUCGUCUCAGUUCGGAUUGUCACCUGAGGGCAUGAAGUCGGAAUCGCUAGUAAUCGCAGAUCAGCAUGCUGCGGU